UACGGGAGGCAGCAGUGGGGAAUUUUGGACAAUGGGCGAAAGCCUGAUCCAGCAAUGCCGCGUGCAGGAUGAAGGCCCUCGGGUUGUAAACUGCUUUUGUACGGAACGAAAAGCCUGGGGGCUAAUAUCCCCGGGUCAUGACGGUACCGUAAGAAUAAGCACCGGCUAACUACGUGCCAGCAGCCGUGGUAAU
RNAcentral lists this ribosomal RNA (193 nucleotides) under uncultured Comamonas sp. RNAcentral's name for it is "partial 16S ribosomal RNA". It matches the Rfam family "Bacterial small subunit ribosomal RNA", at positions 340 to 524 of the family's 1533-position model. Lineage: Bacteria; Pseudomonadati; Pseudomonadota; Betaproteobacteria; Burkholderiales; Comamonadaceae. The record is from RNAcentral.